AGAUACAACAGGAAAUACAGUGAAUGAGCAUUAGGACAUUUCCAGAUAUUCUGUGACUCUGCGGCCAAGCCCAUAAAAUGUUAAUUUAGUGAAUGGUUUUAAUUAGUUGACAGAAAAGACUCUCCUGUACCAGACAUGGAGAGGUAAAGUUUCACCUCUGUUUUACAGUGUGCAGCUGAAUGGGAGCCAGUCUCACAGAGAUCUGAUGAGGAUGAUCCAAGAAAUGAAGAGGUGUUUGCCCGAAGAGAAAAAGAGUUCCAGCAAGCCCAGCACCAUCAGUGCUCUCAACUAUGCCUUGCAGUGUGUCCAGCAGGUCCAAGCAAACAAUGACUUUUUCCAGGCUCUGAAUGACCGAAGAGUGUUUCAGCCAGAUGUGAUGACAUACAGCAUAGAGGAGUUGGUGGCAGUUGCAUCUGAACACACUCCAAAAAACACUGACACAUUUGUGGCUGUGUUUUCCCUGCUUUCGGGACACAUAGUGCAUAUUUCUGAGCAGGCAGCAUCCAUUCUAAACUGUAAGAAGAAAGUGUUGGACUCCUCCCGGUUUGUAGAGCUGCUUGUCCCUCAGGAUGUGAGUGUGUUCUACACCCACACAGAUCAGUCCCACCUGCCGCUCUGGAACGUGGAACGUCAAACAGCUUCUCUGUAUGAAUAUGCCCAGGUGAAAUCCUUUUUCUGCAGGAUCAGGGGUGGUAAAGAUCAAGAACAAGAACCACGUUGUUACCCCUUCCGAAUCACCCCGUACUUGGUCCAUGUGUGUACUUCUGUCCAUGUGGAUGCAGAAUGCUGCUGCUUAGCUUUGGCUGAGAAAAUUCACUCUGGAUACGAAGCUCCUCGAAUUCCUACGGAUAAAAGAAUCUUCACCACCACUCACACCCCUGGAUGUGUUUUUCUUGACAUAGAUGACAGAGCAGUGCCUUUGCUGGGUUACUUACCUCAAGAUUUAGUCGGAACAUCCAUACUGAUGUAUUUGCACCCAGAAGAUCGUCCUCUGAUGAUUGCUGUUCACCGGAAAAUCUUGAAAUUUGCUGGACAACCCCCUUUUGAACACUUACCUAUUAGAUUUUGUACUCAAAAUGGGGAUUAUGUCAUACUGGAUACCAGCUGGUCCAGUUUUGUGAAUCCUUGGAGCAGGAAAGUCGUGUUCAUCAUUGGCCGACACAAAGUCCGGACAAGCCCACUGAAUGAAGAUGUCUUUGCUACAAGAAGUAAAGAAACAAACAGUGUUGAGAAAGAGAUAAGAGAAUUGCAAGGACAAAUUUACAAGCUGCUUCUGCAGCCAGUUCACAGCAAUGUUUCCAGUGGUUAUGGAAGCCUUGGAAGCAAUGGCUCUUACGAGCACUAUAUCAGCAUAGCAUCUUCAAGUGACUCCAAUGGGAAUUGUGCAGAGGAUGUACAGGAACCAAUGACAUUGCAACAAGUUUGUGCAGAUGUCAACCGAAUAAAGAAUCUGGGACAGCAGCUGUAUAUUGCAUCAAGGAGCAAGCCACAGAAUGGGCAUGAACAAGCUGUGGGCUCAGAAAUGCUGGGAGGGAAGAGGCCCACUGCUUCCUGUUUUCUUCAGACGUUGAGAAGCGACAGCACGGAAGAACCAAGCAAUGUGUUUUAUGAUGAUUCAAAGAAGACUCCACGUGUUCCUUCCUAUCAGCAGAUCAAUUGUGUUGAUAGUAUCAUCAGAUACUUAGAGAGCUGCAGUAUUCCAGCAUUGAAAAGGAAAUGUAAGUCUUCUGCAAAUACAUCUUCAUCAUCUUCAGAAGAUGACAAGCAAGUCCAACAAAAUCAGCAGGAAGUGGAGGCGUUGGAAGAUACUGCUGUGGUUUCAGCAGCUGAUUCCCAGGCUCUGGUUCCUGCUGAUCGGGAAGAGACGCUGCCCGGCCGGACCACCGCAGGCCUGGUGGGAGCUCCCCUGGCAGAGCUGGCCCUGUCCAGCAAGUCUCCGAGCGUGGUGUCUGUCACCAGCCAGUGCAGCUACAGCAGUACUAUAGUGCACGUCCCACGCCCCGAAUCAGAAGUGACUACAAUGGAGGAUACUACUGCUGGAAGUGAACAAAUUGAGCUGCCUCCUGUGAAUGCUCAGUGUCUCACUGUGGUGCCUGAGGACUUAAAGCCAGUUGGGCUGACAAAAGAGACGUUGUCAGCCCACACUCAAAAGGAGGAGCAGAACUACGUUGACAAGUUCCGCCAAAGGAUCUUGCUCUCUCCAUUUAGGACUUACCUUCAGCAGGGGAGCAGAAGUAACAUCGGACAUUCCUGUGGCCAAGGAGAUUCCCCUUCAAAGCAGAUGGGCCCAGCUAGCCGUAAAAAAGGCAAACGUGGAAAAUUCAAGCGUCAGAAGCCUCAGAGACAGUCCUCAGAUAGCCACUCUUACAGUAAAAAUAGAAAUAGUCUUCCAUGCGAGAAGAGAAAAAUGCAGAAACAGUCAUUCUCUCCCUCAGAAGUGUCCUAUCUGAGCUCCUCCAGUGUGAAUGUCCUUCCCCCCAUGGGAUUUCCUGUCCAUUCAGAUCCACUAUCAAGUUUUCCAGCCUCUUCUGCAGGAGAGGAGUUUGCCCUUCACUCGUUAAAACCUGAGUCCAUGUCAUCGUCCCAGCUAUGCUGUGAAGCACAGUCAUGCCCAGCACUUUAUCCCCCAAACAUAGGCACAUUUAUGGCUGUAUUUUUUCAGAGUUUCCCCAUGUAUGCUCAGAUGCCUCAGUAUGUCUUUCUUCCUAGCCCCCAGUAUGUUUAUCCCCCCUCUUCGUACUCAUGCACGACACUACCUCCGGCCCCUGCCCCUGCUCCAUCUCCGGUAGCACCACGCGCUGUGGGCCAGCCCUUUCCAGCCACUGCGGCCACAUCUGUGGACCAGCGAGAGGGCCAGCGUGGCCCGGCCCUGCUGCCCAGCAGCUCACGGAGCAGCUCCCCACUUCAGCUGAAUUUGCUUCAGGAAGAGCUGCCAAAACCGAUGGAGCUUUCCGUUAGUGCUGAUGUUAAAGCACAUGCAGAAGCUGAAGGUGACAACGAUCCAGAAGACAGUGGUAACAGUGCUAACCAUUGUGCUUCUGGUGAAUUUGCCGACCACUCACUGUAUGAGGGCUCCCAGUCAGGUUCAGGCUCAGCGGCACCAGGCACCGGAUCAGCCUCAUCUGGGUCUUUAGGCUCUGGCUCCAGUGACACUUCUGGUUGCGGCACAGCAGCUAGUGGGAAAAGCAGCAAGAAUUUUGCCAGUAAUGAUUCUUCUGAAGCUUCCAAAGAAGAGAAGAAUCAGGAAGCAGAAGAAAAAGGGACAGCUCAUAAAUCCAAACAUGAGUCAGCCUGGGUGAUGAUGGAUCACACAUCCGAGCAAGUUCUAAUGACUUACCAGAUGCCAAACAGAAUUAAAGAGGAGGUUUUAAAGGAGGAUCUGGAGAAGCUGGCAGUCAUGCGGAAGCAGCAGCCUUGGUUCACGGACGGGCAGAAGAAGGAGCUGGCAGAGGUGCACUCGUGGAUCCGGACUCGGACUGUCCCGCUGCAGAUUGGCACCCAGGGCUGUGUUACAUGUGACGUCAGGCAAGCAAGUUGUGAGGCUGCAAAGGCUGAUGACGGUAUGGAAACAAAGGGAAAAUCGCCUCUGCUCCUACAACGCUGAAGACAUCAGCACUUGCAUCAGUAAAACUGCUUGGUGCGAUUCCCAUUCUCUUUUUCUCUGCAUUUGCUACAUACUAGUGGUGAAUCUGUCUGUCUCUUCCCAACAUGAGCAGUUGCACAUGUGAGAUUAAACCCUCCUCCAUUAGCCCUCCACUCCUGGCAGGACUUUGAAGAUUUUUGCUUUGAAUUUUUUGCUGGGAGGCUCUUUCCCUUCCUGACCUCACAGACUUGACGCAGAGUGGGUUAUGUUUCUAACUUUUGAUUGCUCAGUGAUGAGCAAAAUACAGAGGGUUUUUUGAUUUGGGUUUUGUUUGUUGGUUUGAACUUGGAGAGUCUGAAAAGAUACCAUGGUUAAGAACCUGCAGUGAUGGACCAAACAGAUCUGAGCGUGUUUACUCUCCAAGUCUGGAAACAUGUCAGAAAGGUGACUGUCGUUAUCCCUGUUGUAUAAAAAGAGGCAGAGACACAAAGGACUUGCACAGAUGCAGACCCCCAGUUCAUAGCAGACCCAGGAGUGUAAGUUGGGGACCUUCACUCACUAUAUCCUGUGCUGUCUUUGCUGAAAGUGGUCAAGAUUCUGAUGUAGAAACUUAAUGUGUUUCUUGUUUGGAGAUGUUAACCCUUCUUGUACCACCUCCUGCUAUGAAUUUGUGCCCAGCAGGUUCAUUAGGCAACAGAAAUCCUCGACAGCUUUUGUAUGCUGUGAACACCCUACCCUCUGACCAUAUAUAAUGAAGGGACAUGUGCCUAGGAGUUUGUAUUCAAAGUUUGUAAUCCUGGCUAAAUCUUAGGUGCAAGAGUCCUUGUCUGGGGCUACACUAGUCCUAGGUUAUGGAAGAAAAUUAUGGUAUGGGGGAAUGAAGAGGUGAAUCGGUGCUCUGUGUGACAGUGAAGCUAAAUUAUUUGCCCAAAACCGCAAACAGCCUUGGCUGUAAGACCAGGUUUAGGACAAAACCCAGUUUUUUACCCCCCUAGAACCACAACAUCUUGCAAUCCAAUGCCUUAUCAAGCCUUUUGGGAAGGACCUAGAUUCUGUAAGUUUUUACUUCAGCAUACGUUAAUUUUCAGUCUUUGUAGUUUGCUGGAGUAGUUGAAGUGAGACCCAGUUAUGGUCUGAAAGACCAAUGGAGUAAAUAUUGCAGCCGGAUUUGCAUGUGCUGUUUUGUUUAUGUGACUUUGUUUUGCCUGGCAUAAUGAAAAUGUGGCAGACGGUUCAGAGCUGCUUGGAAGGUCACUUUUCUGGAGAUCAAAGGGAAAACAAGCAAGUACAAUAGUGAUGCAGUUACUACCCCCUGUGGGGGUGUCAGCAGUUUGGAAACCCUUGGUGGAUUUCACUGGCAAUUUUUUUUGUUGUAUUCAUAAAUACAGAAUUAUGUUUUUAAAAGAUGAGUUAACAUGCAGAUAUUUUCAUGGCAUUGCUAUGAACAGGAGGGACCCUUGUGUAUUUUUACAGUGUGCGAUAAAUAUUCACUGGAUGAGUAAUGUAUUGGUAAGUUUAUCUUCCAGCUGAAUCGACUUUUAAAUCACAACCGAAUUAAUUUUUACAUCAGUUGAUAGAGAUAUUAUAUUGAAAUGAUGUUCAGCUGUGGUUGAAUUUACAAUUGUGAUUUUAACUGUAUACUUUAAAGGAGCUUCUGUUUUUAUAAAUGAAAAAUAUGCUGCAAAGAACUGUUUCAAGUGUUUGUUU
Molecule: RNA transcript, 5290 nt
Organism: Athene cunicularia (burrowing owl)
Lineage: Eukaryota; Metazoa; Chordata; Aves; Strigiformes; Strigidae
Gene: PER3
Gene name: period circadian regulator 3
Exons: 21
Source: RefSeq, a predicted model, not a curated record